RNAcentral lists this ribosomal RNA (423 nucleotides) under Streptococcus gordonii. Its description in RNAcentral is "bacterial SSU rRNA". It matches the Rfam family "Bacterial small subunit ribosomal RNA", at positions 76 to 488 of the family's 1533-position model. Lineage: Bacteria; Bacillati; Bacillota; Bacilli; Lactobacillales; Streptococcaceae. The record is from RNAcentral.
UGCUACACCAUAGACUGUGAGUUGCGAACGGGUGAGUAACGCGUAGGUAACCUGCCUGGUAGCGGGGGAUAACUAUUGGAAACGAUAGCUAAUACCGCAUAAUAUUAAUUAUUGCAUGAUAAUUGAUUGAAAGAUGCAACUGCAUCACUACCAGAUGGACCUGCGUUGUAUUAGCUAGUAGGUGAGGUAACGGCUCACCUAGGCGACGAUACAUAGCCGACCUGAGAGGGUGAUCGGCCACACUGGGACUGAGACACGGCCCAGACUCCUACGGGAGGCAGCAGUAGGGAAUCUUCGGCAAUGGACGAAAGUCUGACCGAGCAACGCCGCGUGAGUGAAGAAGGUUUUCGGAUCGUAAAGCUCUGUUGUAAGAGAAGAACGGGUGUGAGAGUGGAAAGUCACACUGUGACGUAUCUACCAGAA